UCAACUCAAUUUUGUAUGGAGUUUGGAACGUUUGCCUGCGUUUGCCGCUAGGGGCGCUGUUCCAACUCCAUACAAAUUUGAGUUA
Molecule: microRNA precursor, 85 nt
Filed under: Bombyx mori (domestic silkworm)
Lineage: Eukaryota; Metazoa; Arthropoda; Insecta; Lepidoptera; Bombycidae
Description: mir-2807 microRNA precursor family
Rfam family: mir-2807 microRNA precursor family
Source: Rfam by way of RNAcentral